UUGAGAGUUUGAUCCUGGCUCAGAACGAACGCUGGCGGCAGGCUUAACACAUGCAAGUCGAGCGGAAACGAUGGGAGCUUGCUCCCAGGCGUCGAGCGGCGGACGGGUGAGUAACGCGUAGGAAUCUACCUUUCGGCGGGGGAUAGCCCGGAGAAAUCCGGAUUAAUACCGCAUAAGCCCUACGGGGGAAAGCGGGGGACCACUUGUGGCCUCGCACCGAUAGAUGAGCCUGCGUUAGAUUAGCUAGUUGGUAGGGUAAAGGCCUACCAAGGCGACGAUCUAUAGCUGGUCUGAG
RNAcentral lists this ribosomal RNA (295 nucleotides) under Schmidingerella taraikaensis. RNAcentral's name for it is "partial Bacterial small subunit ribosomal RNA". It matches the Rfam family "Bacterial small subunit ribosomal RNA", at positions 1 to 296 of the family's 1533-position model. The record is from RNAcentral. Lineage: Eukaryota; Ciliophora; Spirotrichea; Tintinnida; Rhabdonellidae.